UAGAGUUUGAUCAUGGCUCAGAAUGUACGCUGGCGGCACGCCUAACACAUGCAAGUCGAGCGAGGUACUUGUACCUAGCGGCAGACGGGUGCGUAACAUGUGGGAAUCUGCCUUUUGGUUCGGAACAACAUGGGGAAACCUGUGCUAAUACCGGAUAAGUCCUUACGGAGAAAGAUUUAUCGCCGAAAGAUGAGCCCGCACUAGAUUAGCUUGUUGGUAAGGUAAAAGCUUACCAAGGCUACGAUCUAUAGCUGAUUUGAGAGGAUGAUCAGCCACACUGGGACUGAGACACGGCCCAGACUCCUACGGGAGGCAGCAGUGGGGAAUCUUGCACAAUGGAGGAAACUCUGAUGCAGCGAUGCCGCGUGAGUGAAGAAGGCCCUUGGGUUGUAAAGCUCUUUUGUCGGGAAAGAUAAUGACUGUACCCGAAGAAUAAGGUCCGGCUAACUUCGUGCCAGCAGCCGCGGUAAUACGAAGGGACCUAGCGUAAUUCGGAAUUACUGGGCGUAAAGCGCGCGUAGGCGGUUAAGUAAGUUAAUUGUGAAAGCCCAAAGCUCAACUUUGGAAUUGCAACUAAAACUAUUUAGCUAGAGUUUAUCAGAGGAAAGCGGAAUACAUAGUGUAGAGGUGAAAUUCGUAGAUAUUAUGUAGAACACCAGUUGCGAAGGCGGCUUUCUGGGA
RNAcentral lists this ribosomal RNA (681 nucleotides) under uncultured bacterium. Its description in RNAcentral is "bacterial SSU rRNA". It matches the Rfam family "Bacterial small subunit ribosomal RNA", at positions 1 to 734 of the family's 1533-position model. The record is from RNAcentral.